Long non-coding RNA from Anopheles bellator, 397 nucleotides. RefSeq lists it as uncharacterized. The record is from RefSeq and is a predicted model, not a curated record. Lineage: Eukaryota; Metazoa; Arthropoda; Insecta; Diptera; Culicidae. The transcript has 3 exons.
AAACCACCGGCGAGGAGGAGACACGGAACCGGAACGCUUCGCGACUGCUUUGAUCGAAACACGGCACAAAAAGAGUUUUCAGUUUUGGAUUUGGACAAAGCAAUCACCACCAGACGUUCGAUGCCACCAACCAAUAUUGCAACUGAAAUAUCUACCGUACACGGGAGGUAUACGCUGAUGAGACAGUUGUUAAAUAUUAGGGAAGAGAAAAGUACACCAGCACCGCUCGGGUUUUCACCAUUGGUGAGAGAAAAAAUGGAGUUCAGUUAAUUCAAGGCCGCAUAUAUAAAUGACUAUGACCAACGUCACCAGAGCCAGGGAUGAAGAGGCGGCUGAUGGCAAGCAUUGAAAUCCUUUCGCCUACCACACACAUCACGCUGGAGCGGAAAUCAUCCUG